RNAcentral lists this transfer RNA (87 nucleotides) under Lentzea pudingi. RNAcentral's name for it is "tRNA-Arg". Lineage: Bacteria; Bacillati; Actinomycetota; Actinomycetes; Pseudonocardiales; Pseudonocardiaceae. The record is from RNAcentral.
GCGAACCUGCACUGGUUCCUGCUCUACGGCGCCUUCUGGGCGUUGUUGUGGCGCAACGCCCCGCGCGUGCCGAUCGCGUUGUUCGUG